GUCUGCUUCAAGCCCGGGAGUUUGAGAGGAAGGUCUGCGUUGUGUCCGGGUUCAGGCCCAAGCUCCGGCUUGCUGAGACACACCUGAUGGGAGGCCCAGCUUUUCCUCCUCAGACUUCAGAGCUUCCGGAAAAGUCAAAGGCAGUGCCCCCUUUGACAUGCAAAGUGUCUUAAGGGCGGAAGGAUUCUCGAAGAGCUGGAUGAUGGCCGUGCCCGGCCCGAAGCUGUUCCAGGCCGUGCAGUUGUAGUGUGUCUGAAAGUCGGCCUCCAUGACGUUGUUGAUGGCCCAGCCCAGCUCUCGCCCUGCAACAAACACCAGUUCACCCUGUUGCCUGGAACCUUGGCCUGGAACCUCCAGCCUAGGAGGAAAGUGGCUCUGGACAUGAUGGAGAUGUAUGCCGGGAACAUUCGGACAUGCCCAGGGACGUUCUUUAAAGUGCAGAUUCUUGGGGCUUAACUCCUAACUAUGAAUCUCCAAGGAAGAGAUCCAGGAGUCUCUAUCUUCAUAACCAUCCCACGGACGCAGGGAUCAAUCCUCCCAGCUCUGCGAGGAAAGCCCCCGGGAGCAGAGCCGCCGGCUGCCCAGGCGGCCGUGGUAAUGAAGUGUCCCUGGGCAGCCCUGGAGUUAGCCAAAUGGUCAUUAAAUGUGAUGAGGGGUUUGACGGUUAAUGGGCAUGGAAGGAAUUAAUGGCUCAUGGUGUGGGGAAGAGAAAGGAGGGUGGAGGGGAGCUGGGAGGAGGAGGCAGAAGCAGGGGGCGGAGGGGCAGGGGCCAGGCAGGGCAGGGAGGGGAAGAGGGAGCAGGGAAAAGAUGGGAGAGGCCCAGGAAAGGGAAGGGGACGAGGGACAGAGAGCAGCCGGGGCGCCCCGACCUUUCACACCUGUUGCUACAGUCACCUCACAGCCACCCUAUCAGGCGAGGACACCGCCCCCGUUUUGAGGAUGAGGAACCCGAGGUUGGAAACGCUAAGCACGUGGCUCGGGGUCACGCAACAAGUCCAGCCACCAGAUCUCCUCCCCAGCACAGGUCCGUGUGUCCCUCCCACGGCCACCGAACCGGCCAGCUGUUCUGCAGGGAGAAGUGGGUCUUGAUCUCAAGCACUGGCCUCCUCCUCCCCCAAAUCCCAGGACCCUAGAAGCACUCUGGCUUCGACUCCAAAAGCACUGUUGCCCUCCCCUUGCCCCAGCCCUGCUCUCCCGCCAGAGCCAGAGUCCUUCCCCCCCAGCCAACCCCAGCACUCAAGACAGGCA
Molecule: long non-coding RNA, 1248 nt
Organism: Prionailurus viverrinus (fishing cat)
Lineage: Eukaryota; Metazoa; Chordata; Mammalia; Carnivora; Felidae
Exons: 6
Source: RefSeq, a predicted model, not a curated record